This 74-nucleotide transfer RNA is filed under the name Acidimicrobiaceae bacterium. RNAcentral's name for it is "tRNA-Ala". It matches the Rfam family "tRNA". From Rfam's summary of the family: Transfer RNA (tRNA) molecules are approximately 80 nucleotides in length. Their secondary structure includes four short double-helical elements and three loops (D, anti-codon, and T loops). The record is from RNAcentral. Lineage: Bacteria; Bacillati; Actinomycetota; Acidimicrobiia; Acidimicrobiales; Acidimicrobiaceae.
GGGGCUGUAGCUCAGGCUGGUAGAGCACCUGCUUUGCAAGCAGGGGGUCGUCGGUUCGAAUCCGAUCAGCUCCA